AAACAUUUGACUUGGGCAGCACUUUUAGGGGGUUUGGCAAAAAAGCCACCCCUAAGCACCCUGGCAGAUGCCCUGUUAGCCUCUUUCAUGGGGGGCCCAAGAGCUGGCCGGCUGGCCACCUCAGGUACCCCCGAGGCUUUGAAAUGCUCCCAGUGCGGCCAGGGUGUGGGCGUGAGGGAGUCCUCUGAGCUCUUCCUGGUUAGCUGCCUCGUGC
Non-coding RNA from Pelobates cultripes (western spadefoot toad), 214 nucleotides. The record is from the annotation of a GenBank genome assembly. Lineage: Eukaryota; Metazoa; Chordata; Amphibia; Anura; Pelobatidae.